ACGAACGCUGGCGGCGUGCCUAAUACAUGCAAGUCGAGCGAAGUUUUUCUGGUGCUUGCACCGGAAAAACUUAGCGGCGAACGGGUGAGUAACACGUAAAGAACCUGCCUCAUAGACUGGGACAACUAUUGGAAACGAUAGCUAAUACCGGAUAAUGGCAUUAACUGCAUGGUUGAUGUUUAAAAGUUCGUUUUGCUAACACUAUGAGAUGGCUUUGCGGUGCAUUAGCUAGUUGGUGGGGUAAAGGCCUACCAAGGCGACGAUGCAUAGCCGACCUGAGAGGGUGAUCGGCCACACUGGGACUGAGACACGGCCCAGACUCCUACGGGAGGCAGCAGUAGGGAAUCUUCCGCAAUGGGCGAAAGCCUGACGGAGCAACGCCGCGUGAGUGAAGAAGGAUUUCGGUUCGUAAAGCUCUGUUGUUAGGGAAGAAUGAUUGUGUAGUAACUAUACACAGUAGAGACGGUACCUAACCAGAAAGCCACGGCUAACUACGUG
RNAcentral lists this ribosomal RNA (498 nucleotides) under uncultured bacterium. RNAcentral's name for it is "partial 16S ribosomal RNA". It matches the Rfam family "Bacterial small subunit ribosomal RNA", at positions 29 to 507 of the family's 1533-position model. The record is from RNAcentral.